UUCAUGGCCCGCUAGCCACAAACCUCCUACUACAUCCUCCCAAAGUUACUGGACCAGGACAUCAGAUUCUGUCAGCCGUACUCAUAUGAAAAUUGCAAGUUCUGUGAUUUAUGUCAAAGACCAAGUGCAAUCAGGCAUAGCCAUUAUCAAACACACUUAUUUUCAGCAUUUUCUCAGUCGCAGUCUUUUACAAAGUUCUAUCUCAGCCGUAGACUUGAACGACUAGAAAUCACAGAAUGUUUAUUAUGUUAAUGUUUAUUUCUUCCUCUUCCUUCCUCAUUCUGAUCCAAUAACACCGGCUCUUCUUCAUCAUCCUCUUCGUUACGCUCCUCAUGGUAAUCCUCCUCAUCCUCUUCAAACCAGAUUUUGGGAUCCGUCGAUCCCGUCAAUCGAAGGAUCCCACCCGCCUUCUUCUUCUAAAUCUUCACAUUUUCCGUCUUUUCUCUCCUCUUCUUCAUCUUCACUUUCUUCGU
This is a long non-coding RNA of Daphnia pulicaria, 473 nucleotides long. RefSeq lists it as uncharacterized. The transcript has 5 exons. The record is from RefSeq and is a predicted model, not a curated record. Lineage: Eukaryota; Metazoa; Arthropoda; Branchiopoda; Diplostraca; Daphniidae.